RNAcentral lists this ribosomal RNA (94 nucleotides) under uncultured bacterium. Its description in RNAcentral is "partial 16S ribosomal RNA". It matches the Rfam family "Bacterial small subunit ribosomal RNA", at positions 1390 to 1482 of the family's 1533-position model. The record is from RNAcentral.
CCGCCCGUCACACCAUGGGAGUUGACUGCACCAGAAGCAGGUAGCCUAACCGCAAGGAUGGCGCCUACCACGGUGUGGUCAAUGACUGGGGGUG